RNAcentral lists this long non-coding RNA (1126 nucleotides) under Sus scrofa (pig). RNAcentral describes it as "lncRNA (ENSSSCG00050068050.1)". The record is from RNAcentral. Lineage: Eukaryota; Metazoa; Chordata; Mammalia; Artiodactyla; Suidae.
UAAUUUCCCUUACUUUUUUUUAUCUAUCGAGUUUUCCUGCUUAAUCUUUAGAUUUUGGGGAAUUUUCCAGCUUUUCUCUUGUUGCUGAUUUCUAAUUUCAUGUGAUUGUGUUUGGAAAAGAUACUUGUUAUGACCUCAGUCGUCUUAUAUUUGCUGACUUGUUUUGUCACCUAUCAUGUGAUCUAUUCUUAAGAAAGUUCCAUUUGAGCUUGAGAAGAAUCUGUGUUCUUUCAUUGUUAGAUCAAUAUUCUGUAUUUUGUCUAAAGUUUGGUUCAAGUCUAACAUUUCCUUUUUUUCCUAUCUUGAUAAUGUCCUCAUUGUUGAAAAUUGAGCAUUGAAGUCCCCUAUUAGUUAAUGUCUCUUUCUCCCUUCAGAUGUGUUAGAUUUUGCUUAAUAUAUUUAAGGUGCUCCAAUGUUGAAUGCAUGCAUAGUCAUGAUUGUUUUAUCUUAAUAAACUGAAACUCUUAUCAUCAUAAUGUCCAUUUUUUUCUCUUGUUAUUGUUAUUGGCUUAACUCUACUUUUUCCUGAUAAAAAUAUAGCUACCCUUACUCUCUUUUGGUUUCCACUUGUGUGGUGAGUCUUUUGUACAUAGCAUAUAGUUGGGUCUUUUUUUUUUUUUUUUUUAUCCAUAUAGCCACUCUAUGCUUUUUCACUGAAGAAUUUAAUCCAUUAAUAUUUAGAGUAAUUAUUGAUAGGUAAAGUUUGAAGUUCCACUUUUAUUUAUUUAUUUUUUUUGCUGCCUUUAUUUUUAAGUUGAUGAUUUUCUGUAGUGGAAUGCUUUAAUUCCCUUCUCUUUUAUCUUGUGUAUCUUAUUGCAGAUUUUAUAUUUCCCAUGGAGUUUGCAUAAAACAGCCUGUAUAUCCAGCAGUCUAAACUAUACUGAUAACAAUAUAACUUUGAUUGCAUACAAAACCUGUAUUUUUACUUCCCACUUUUAUGUUUCUGAUGUCAUCAUUUACCAUCUUUUUUUUUUUUUUCUUCAUUGUGUAUCCAUUAGCAAAUUGUUGAAGCUAGAGCUACUUUAAUGCUUUUGUGCUUUAUCCUUUAUUCUGGAGUUAAGUAGUUAACACAUCACCAUAGUAUAGUAUUAAAGGGUUCUGAAUUUGACUGUAUGCUAACCUUUUA